AUUGAACGCUGGCGGCAGGCCUAACACAUGCAAGUCGAACGGUAACAGGAAGAAGCUUGCUUCUUUGCUGACGAGUGGCGGACGGGUGAGUAAUGUCUGGGAAACUGCCUGGUGGAGGGGGAUAACUACUGGAAACGGUAGCUAAUACCGCAUAACGUCGCAAGACCAAAAAGGGGGACCUUCGGGCCUCUUGCCAUCGGAUGUGCCCAGAUGGGAUUAGCUAGUAGGUGGGGUAACGGCUCACCUAGGCGACGAUCCCUAGCUGGUCUGAGAGGAUGACCAGCCACACUGGAACUGAGACACGGUCCAGACUCCUACGGGAGGCAGCAGUGGGGAAUAUUGCACAAUGGGCGCAAGCCUGAUGCAGCCAUGCCGCGUGUAUGAAGAAGGCCUUCGGGUUGUAAAGUACUUUCAGCGGGGAGGAAGGGAGUAAAGUUAAUACCUUUGCUCAUUGACGUUACCCGCAGAAGAAGCACCGGCUAACUCCGUG
RNAcentral lists this ribosomal RNA (490 nucleotides) under uncultured bacterium. RNAcentral's name for it is "partial 16S ribosomal RNA". It matches the Rfam family "Bacterial small subunit ribosomal RNA", at positions 30 to 507 of the family's 1533-position model. The record is from RNAcentral.